GGUGUCACUUAGCCACGUCCUGCCUUGCCAGGGUGUCUUUGGGGGUUCUGCAGCUCUGCAGCUCUCCAGCUCUCGAGGGCUCUGGAGACCUCGGCCCUCCUCCCCAGGCUGCUGCAGCUCUCCUGGCGGCCGGAGCCCCACAGUGUGGGCACCAGGGUGGGAAAGCUGCCGCUUUCUCCCCAGCUCGGUGGGAAUUGGAAUUUUGGUUUUCUUACCCAAUCUGUUUGCUAUUCUUAACUUUUCAGAGUGGGGCUUGCUUGUGGUUGCAGUUUUCCAGCCUGCAGUGUUCUGUCACAGGAGCCCCCGCUGACAGGUGGGCGGGCAUCUCCAGCCAGAGGAGGGCUUUUCUGUUGCCGCCAAUGCCAGGUGCCCCCAGACUGACCGCCCCGUCUCAGGGAGCACAUCUGCAUGAGUCUGCCCAGCCGCCGUGACAGAGCCCCGCAGCCCAGGAGGCUGAAGUGACAGAAAUGAUCUCAUGGUUCGGGAGCCAGAAGUCCAAGGUCAAGGUGUUGGCAGCGUUGGUUCCUCGGGGGCCUCUUUCCUCGGCAGGUCUGCUUUCCUUAGACUGACGUGUGGAGUGAUACCAUGUGCGGGACUGUGACGCGGUCUCACCCACGGGACCUCAGUCUCAUGGGGACACAGGCAAGCAAGCUACUGAUGACAGCCCACUGCGAGCCGGGCUAGGGUCCCCGCCAACAAAUGUCUACUGAAUAAAUCACUGAACUUUUCUCCUGCUCUGCCAUCCAUGGCGGAACCGCCACCGAGAUGCAGAUUUUUGUGAAGACCCCUAGCAGAACACCAUCGCUCUCCAGGGCGAGCCCUCGGAUGCCCCAGAAAAUGUGAAGGCCAGGAUCCGGGGUGAGGAGCAGCUACUUCUGACCAGCAAAGACUGGUCUUUGCCGCACGCACCUGGAAG
Molecule: long non-coding RNA, 916 nt
Organism: Artibeus jamaicensis (Jamaican fruit-eating bat)
Lineage: Eukaryota; Metazoa; Chordata; Mammalia; Chiroptera; Phyllostomidae
Exons: 3
Source: RefSeq, a predicted model, not a curated record